UCCUUAAAAAGACAAAAGAUAACAGAUCUUUCAUGAUUAUGUGGCGGGUGGUGCAUGGCCGUUCUUAGUUCGUGGAGUGAUCUGUCUGCUUAAUUGCGUUUCAAAUGUAUUUUUGAUUUAUCAAACGAGUCUACGAAGAUGUCUAUUCAUACAAGCACUUCAUUUAUGAUUUGUUUGGAAUACGACUCUUUCGGCUCAAUUGAACGCAACGGACGUGAUUGCAAGUCCUUGUUGAACUUCUGUAUAUAUCAUUUACAUUCUUAACUGAGUGUAUCUAAGAUAAUAGAGUUCGCUUUCUAUUGGUGACGGGAUCUCCAAUCACUUUCGAGUGAGAGUGAGUGAUCUAAUCCUUUAGGAAAACUCGGGCGACCG
RNAcentral lists this ribosomal RNA (372 nucleotides) under Globigerinella calida. RNAcentral describes it as "partial small subunit ribosomal RNA". The record is from RNAcentral. Lineage: Eukaryota; Foraminifera; Rotaliida; Globigerinidae.